UUCUUGCUUUCAUCUUUGCGUUAUGAGGUUUAUAAUUUGCAUGAAUAUGUUAAAAAGAGAAAAAGAAGGAUUAAUCAUGUACUUAAUUGCCAUUGCUCCUAGUCAUGCCUUUUUUUCAUUUCUUAUAUGUGAUAGAUACCCUAUGAUGAUAGUGGGUAUAAUCUGUACUACUAAUUUAUUUGAAGUUUUGAAAUAAAUUUGAAGAGCAAACCUUAGGUGAGUGAAGGCUUGAUUGCAACUAAGUCAAAGGAACUGGUAGUGUAAUUAGACCUGACUUAUUUCUCAAAUUGAGGCUUCCUCAUUAGGUGCCUGAUUCGAGGAAUAUCAGUUUAUGGAGCACUCAUCUGUAGGUGGAAUCACUGCUGUGUUUCCUCUGGGUAGGCACUGCUCCUGUUGUCUUUUGAAUUUAUUUUUUUUUUUUUUAAAUACAAGUUUAGAGCAAACAAGAAAAACCUAAAAAUGUAUUCCAAGGAGAUUAAUUCGUAGUUGGGUAUUUCAUUCAUUUCAAUGUGUAAUGGUAGAAAGGUGAAAUUCUAUCUGGAGCAGCUGUUAAGUAACUUUUUCAGAUGUCUCUCAACAAAGUCUACCUUAAUCAGAAGGUGUUGGGGCAGGUUAAGUAAGCUGUUUAGUGGCAAGGAGACACCAACAUCCCAAAUCCUGAUUACUUUCAGCCUAGUUAGCCAGCAAGGUAAGCAUGCUCCCUGCCUCUCAAAUACUUGAGUGUUUGAAUUCAGAAGUUAACCAGGAAAUAGGUAAAUACAUAAACAUGGUAAUAUGUAUAGCCUAAAAUUAAAAGCAUCUGUAGCAUUUAUUUCUAGCCCAAAGAAUAUGGCUUAAAUAAUAGGAAAUAUUGUUGCAUUCAGUUAGAACCAAAGUUGAGGAUCCAGUGGUCUUCCAGUGGCCUUAAAUGACUGUGCUGCUUAUGGGCUGGCAGUUUUUUCUUAGGUAUAAAGAGGAAAUUAUCUUCUGUUUAAAGGAAAUAGCAAACUGGAUUUUUCUUCUAGUUUGACUUCCUUUCAACUAUGGGGGUAUAGCUUUUCACGGUUUAGAAUGAUUAUGUAUUUUGGGGGGAAAAAUUGUUAGUAUAUACACAGAACUUGAAAAAGUGAUUGAAGAAAAUUGCUUAGGUGUAAGGCAGCAUUCAUUUGAAAUAAAUUGUCAUUAAUGCUCAAACACGUAUUAGCAAAACAUUGCUAGAAUAUUGACUGGACACAGCAACAAUUAUAGUAACAUGGUGGGCAUCUGUAUAUAUGUAACAAAACAUAUCUGUAUCUUUUUUUAAUAGCGUUUAAAAAACCCCAAGCCUACUUUGGAACAUUGUAUACUUUUUAAUUAUUUGCUAAUUAUAGUUUCACUUUAAAAAGGCAGAAAUCUGUGUUGUGAUUGAGCAUGUUACUCUUGCAACACAGCAAACUGCCAAGUGGUGAAGGUUUAAAAUUUGGCUUGCAAUCAGUUCUCUGUCAGUUUGUCAACAGCACAGUCCUUAGGAACACUGUUUCCUGAAAUCUUCUCCUACUGUUUACUACAGGAAAUUUUCUGCUUUUCAGCAGAGUGAACGUAAUGGUAAACAUACCAUUGGUAUGGAAAAUGGCAAUAUAGUAAGAAAUCUAUAAAUCUCUGAUGGCCAAUGAAUGUAAAGUAGAUGAAUCUUACUAGGAGAAAGUUUAAAAUUCAACGUAAAAACAUAAAAAGAUGUCAUUGACUCUUCUAGAUUUAUAUACUGAGGAAUAAAAUCCCUACAUUCCCACAACAGAAAUCAGGAAUCUGCAUAAUGAAAACAUUUUCCUGAGGAAUCUUAAUUACGCUGCAUAUCAAACUGGGAUUUUGCAGGUGAAUCUGUUGGCAAGGUUUUUUUUAUUGGUAUCAAUCUAAUUGGUAGAUUUUUUCUUUAUUUUUUUUUAAUCUUAAUAUUCUGUUAGUAAGAUUCAUACUUGCUUGUCCUCAUUCACGAUUUAAUGAAGAAAGGCAGUUUCAUAUUGGCCGAUUCUUCUCUGUGCCUACAUAAUCUUUCUGAUGCUUUUCUGUAUAACUAAGUUAAGGUAUGUUUUGUGUUUUGUUUUUUUUUCCCGGCUGUCUUCUCUGUCAAUCUCCCUCAUUGCUUUUAGUCCAUUUCAUCAUUCCAGUGCUGCAUCCACUCACUGGCUGAAGCCUUUCUGCUCUCAGAGCUCAGCAUGCUUUCAGAUGAAGGUCAUGACAUAAAGGUCUGCCAUUUCAAACCACUCCACUGCUGUGUUUUUUUACCCUUUGUUGCAGAGUCUUCCUAGCUCUUCCUGGCCAGUGAGGAUUCUGUCCUUCUCCUCCUCAAUCUUCUGUCUUCAUUUUGCUUUAUAAUCUUAACUGAAUAUUUUUAUUAAAUAGUUUUUAAUGCUGUAUUUAAAUUUUCACAUGGAAAUUCUGUAUUUUGCACACAGUGAAAAUUGUUUUAGCUUUAUUUAUGAUAUCUGCUGUAAACAAAAAUAAAUGUAGUUCUUUGUAA
Molecule: long non-coding RNA, 2476 nt
Organism: Neopsephotus bourkii (Bourke's parrot)
Lineage: Eukaryota; Metazoa; Chordata; Aves; Psittaciformes; Psittacidae
Exons: 2
Source: RefSeq, a predicted model, not a curated record